AAGCCAGACUCCUACGGGAGGCAGCAGUGGGGAAUAUUGCACAAUGGGGGAAACCCUGAUGCAGCGACGCCGCGUGAGUGAAGAAGUAUUUCGGUAUGUAAAGCUCUAUCAGCAGGGAAGAAAGUGACGGUACCUGACUAAGAAGCCCCGGCUAACUACGUGCCAGCAGCCGCGGUAAUACGUAGGGGGCAAGCGUUAUCCGGAUUUACUGGGUGUAAAGGGAGCGUAGACGGCAUGGCAAGUCAGAUGUGAAAGCCCGGGGCUCAACCCCGGGACUGCAUUUGAAACUGUCAGGCUGGAGUGCAGGAGAGGUAAGUGGAAUUCCUAGUGUAGCGGUGAAAUGCGUAGAUAUUAGGAGGAACACCAGUGGCGAAGGCGGCUUACUGGACUGUAACUGACGUUGAGGCCCGAAAGCGUGGGGAGCAAACAGGAUUAGAUACCCUAGUA
Molecule: ribosomal RNA, 447 nt
Filed under: uncultured bacterium
Lineage: Bacteria
Description: bacterial SSU rRNA
Rfam family: Bacterial small subunit ribosomal RNA
Source: RNAcentral